This 344-nucleotide long non-coding RNA is filed under the name Hordeum vulgare. RNAcentral describes it as "long non-coding RNA (HVUL_LNC003895)". Lineage: Eukaryota; Viridiplantae; Streptophyta; Magnoliopsida; Poales; Poaceae. The record is from RNAcentral.
CGAAUGUGGAGAGGUUAGAGGUUUUUCAUGGCAAUGUUGGGAGGCUGAGAUUUAAGUAGUAGGCAACGAGACUUAGUGAAAGAAAUGAGACGACUAGCAUGACAAUGAUAGUAAUGGUAUUUAGGGAAAUGAUCAUCUUGCCUGUGAUCCUGCUUGGAAGAAGAACAAAUUUGUGAAGCAGACGAACCAGUGUAGUCGAACGAAUCCUCACACUCCGAAGCGGUACGGAACUUUAUCGAGAAGAAACAAUCCGAAAAAAAACAAUCAACACACGACAACGCCAGAACAUAUGCACGACAUGCACAACACAUAUGAUGCAUGAACGAUUUAAUUAUGCACGACAC